This 942-nucleotide ribosomal RNA is filed under the name Mycoacia nothofagi. RNAcentral's name for it is "LSU rRNA". It matches the Rfam family "Eukaryotic large subunit ribosomal RNA", at positions 36 to 965 of the family's 3401-position model. The record is from RNAcentral. Lineage: Eukaryota; Fungi; Basidiomycota; Agaricomycetes; Polyporales; Meruliaceae.
UAGCAUAUCAAUAAGCGGAGGAAAAGAAACUAACAAGGAUUCCCCUAGUAACUGCGAGUGAAGCGGGAAAAGCUCAAAUUUAAAAUCUGGUAGUCUUUGGCUGCCCGAGUUGUAGUCUAGAGAAGUGUUUUCCGCGCUGGACCGUGUACAAGUCUCUUGGAACAGAGCGUCAUAGAGGGUGAGAAUCCCGUCUUUGACACGGACUACCAGUGCUUUGUGAUGCGCUCUCAAAGAGUCGAGUUGUUUGGGAAUGCAGCUCAAAAUGGGUGGUAAAUUCCAUCUAAAGCUAAAUAUUGGCGAGAGACCGAUAGCGAACAAGUACCGUGAGGGAAAGAUGAAAAGCACUUUGGAAAGAGAGUUAAACAGUACGUGAAAUUGUUGAAAGGGAAACGCUUGAAGUCAGUCGCGUCGUCCAGAACUCAACCUGGCUUUUGCUUGGUGCACUUUUUGGUUGACGGGCCAACAUCAGUUUUGACUGUCGGAAAAAGUCCUUGGGAAUGUGGCACCUCCGGGUGUGUUAUAGCCUUUGGUCGUAUACGAUGGUUGGGACUGAGGACCGCAGCACGCCUUUUGGCCGGGGUUCGCCCACGUACGUGCUUAGGAUGUUGGCAUAAUGGCUUUAAGCGACCCGUCUUGAAACACGGACCAAGGAGUCUAACAUGCCUGCGAGUGUUUGGGUGGAAAACCCGAGCGCGCAAUGAAAGUGAAAGUUGGGAUCCCUGUCGUGGGGAGCACCGACGCCCAUACCAGACCUUCUGUGACGGAUAUGCGGUUGAGCAUGUAUGUUGGGACCCGAAAGAUGGUGAACUAUGCCUGAAUAGGGUGAAGCCAGAGGAAACUCUGGUGGAGGCUCGUAGCGAUUCUGACGUGCAAAUCGAUCGUCAAAUUUGGGUAUAGGGGCGAAAGACUAAUCGAACCAUCUAGUAGCUGGUUCCUGCCGAU